Molecule: ribosomal RNA, 465 nt
Filed under: uncultured bacterium
Lineage: Bacteria
Description: partial 16S ribosomal RNA
Rfam family: Bacterial small subunit ribosomal RNA
Source: RNAcentral
GACGAACGCUGGCGGCGUGCUUAACACAUGCAAGUCGAACGGAAAGGCCCCUUUGGGGGUACUCGAGUGGAGAACGGGUGAGUAACACGUGAGUAACCUGCCCUUGACUUCGGGAUAACUUCAGGAAAGUGGGGCUAAUACCGGAUAGGAAUCCUUGCUGCAUGGUGGGGGUUGGAAAGCUUCGGCGCUUUUGGGUGGACUCGCGGCUUAUUGACUUGUUGGUGGGGUAGUGGUUUACCAAGGCUUUGACGGGUAGCUGGCCUGCGAGGGCGACCGGCCACAUUGGGACUGAGAUACGGCCCAGACUCCUACGGUAGGCAUCAGUGGGGAAUAUUGCACAAUGGGCGGCAGCCUGAUGCAGCAACGCCGCGUGCGGGAUUACGGCCUUCGGGUUGUAAACCGCUUUCAGCAGGGGCGAAGCUUGUGGUGACGGUACCUGCAGAAGAAGCACCGGCUAACUACGUG